GAUGAACGCUAGCGGCAGGCCUAAUACAUGCAAGUCGGACGGGAUCCAUUGAUAGCUUGCUAUCAAUGGUGAGAGUGGCGCACGGGUGCGUAACGCGUGAGCAACCUGCCUCCAUCAGGGGGAUAGCCUCUCGAAAGAGAGAUUAACACCGCAUAAUAUCAACAGUUCGCAUGUUCAGUUGAUUAAAUAUUUAUAGGAUGGAGAUGGGCUCGCGUGACAUUAGCUAGUUGGUAGGGUAACGGCUUACCAAGGCGACGAUGUCUAGGGGCUCUGAGAGGAGGAUGCCCCACACUGGUACUGCGACACGGACCAGACUACUACGAGAGGCAGCAGUAAGGAAUAUUGGUCAAUGGGCGGAAGCCUGAACCAGCCAUGCCGCGUGCAGGAUGACUGCCCUAUGGGUUGUAAACUGCUUUUGUCCAGGAAUAAACCUAAAUACGAGUAUUUAGCUGAAUGUACUGGAAGAAUAAGGAUCGGCUAACUCCGUG
This 488-nucleotide ribosomal RNA is filed under the name uncultured bacterium. Its description in RNAcentral is "partial 16S ribosomal RNA". It matches the Rfam family "Bacterial small subunit ribosomal RNA", at positions 28 to 507 of the family's 1533-position model. The record is from RNAcentral.